Molecule: ribosomal RNA, 465 nt
Filed under: uncultured bacterium
Lineage: Bacteria
Description: partial 16S ribosomal RNA
Rfam family: Bacterial small subunit ribosomal RNA
Source: RNAcentral
AUGCACGCUGGCGGCGUGCUUCACACAUGCAAGUCGAACGGAAAGGCUCCUGCUUGCAGGGGUACUCGAGUGGCGAACGGGUGAGUAACACGUGGGUGAUCUGCCCUGCACUUCGGGAUAAGCCUGGGAAACUGGGUCUAAUACCGGAUAGGACGAUGGUUUGGAUGCCAUUGUGGAAAGUUUUUCGGUGUGGGAUGAGCUCGCGGCCUAUCAGCUUGUUGGUGGGGUAAUGGCCUACCAAGGCGUCGACGGGUAGCCGGCCUGAGAGGGUGUACGGCCACAUUGGGACUGGGAUACGGCCCAGACUCCUACGGGAGGCAGCAGUGGGGAAUAUUGCACAAUGGGCGCAAGCCUGAUGCAGCGACGCCGCGUGGGGGAUGACGGCCUUCGGGUUGUAAACUCCUUUCGCUAGGGACGAAGCGUUUUGUGACGGUACCUGGAGAAGAAGCACCGGCUAACUACGUG